Perca fluviatilis (European perch) is the source of this 1378-nucleotide long non-coding RNA. RefSeq lists it as uncharacterized. The record is from RefSeq and is a predicted model, not a curated record. Lineage: Eukaryota; Metazoa; Chordata; Actinopteri; Perciformes; Percidae. The transcript has 2 exons.
GUUACGACUAGGCUUGAUAUAGAGGGUCACCAGACUACACCAGUUGAAGAGGAGGAUAUGGCUUCCUUAGAUGACAGCAGAUCCAGUGGGACCAGCAAUCAGAGUAUUGUGAGUGGGAGUAAUGUCUCUGAAAAUCACAGAAGCGAGUCUGAGGGUGAUAUUGGGGAUGGCACAAGCGAACAAGAGGCAUUGCAUGAACCCGGGGACAGUAGGAGUGACUAUUCCAUGUCAGUGACGACUCCAAGUGGAAUCAGUAGUGUAACUGGCUCGGCCGGCUGUUCUACAUGCAUUACUCCAGAACGUCACUACAUGCCACCAAGAGGGAACUUAUCUAUGACUCAAGGAAGGAGUCAAGGAGCAGAACUGUCAGAGACUUUCUUCAGACCUGAGGGUUCAACGACAACCAGAGCAGGAAGAGUAGUAAAACCUGUUAGAAGACUACUUGAGUCAAUGAGUAUGGUUAUGGGAGAGCCCGCAAGUAAGGAACCUCUGGCUGCCUUGUUUAAAGCCCUUUUGACUCUUAUAGAGGUGUAAUCCAUUAAUAGGGUCUUUCAGUUAAACUUUUAGGACCCAGACAAUUUAGAAUGUAGGUAUUUUAUCAGAGGGUUCUUGGUUAUAUGUAUAAGGGCAUAUUUCUACCUGGCAAAGUGUUUUGCUGUCCUAUUGGACGACUCUGGUCAAGGUAACCCCCUAUAAAGAAAAGAGUUCUCACCUGGUCUAAAAGUUUGCUGUAAUUAAGGAGGGGUGAAUGUAAUAGUGUGUUUUGUGUAUAUUCCAGCUAACUUUAUUUUUUUAAGUGGUACUGUCUCAAAAGGGGAAACAGGAUGUUCCAUUUGUCGACAAUGACAGGGGGAGGGUAUAGAUUUUACUAUCUUCUUAUAAUGUUAUUUAAAAUACAGUGAUUGUGCUAGAUAAGCCUUGUCACUGUUGUUGAAUUGUUUCCAACUCAAAAGAAAGUAGUAAUGUUUCAUGUACAUUUAUUUUCAUUUAGAUAUGUUGAUAAUUGUGAUCGGCGAAUCACCUGUGUAUUGUGGUACAUGCUCAUGAGCGUCCCUCUCUCAGUCUGUUUUGGAAACUGAGAGAGACAGUAGUCUGAGAAGAGGGUGUGUGGAACUGAUGCAGUCCCUGUCACAUGUUGUGUCAUUACAGGUAUGGUUGCCAAAGAAAAUAACCACUAUACGAUCAUUUCAAUUAAUGUUUUACUAUAUUGUGUAAAUGUUUUGUUAUCUUUAGACUGUGUAAAUGUUUUGUUAUGCUCAGUCUGUUUUGGAAACUGAGAGAGACAGUAGUCUGAGAAGAGGGUGUGUGGAACUGAUGCAGUCCCUGUCACAUGUUGUGUCAUUACAGACUCACUCAGUAAAGCAAAGAUCCAAAGAGA